RNAcentral lists this long non-coding RNA (1803 nucleotides) under Betta splendens (Siamese fighting fish). Its description in RNAcentral is "lncRNA (ENSBSLG00000015457.1)". The record is from RNAcentral. Lineage: Eukaryota; Metazoa; Chordata; Actinopteri; Anabantiformes; Osphronemidae.
CUUGCAUCUGUUUAAGGUCUGCAAGGGAUUUUUUGUUAUUGUGUACUUGGACAACGCAGAGUCGCGAUGUUGUUUUCCUGCGCGAGGCUGCCGGAGGACCUCCGCUGGUGCUUCGGGGAGCUCGCGAAGAAUUACGCGGAAGCCCCCAGUCUAAAGGUGCGGCUCCGCGUCAUAAAGCAAGCUAUUACUAUCCUGGAGGAGGAAUUCUGGUGGCUUGAUUACCCGGAAGUGCAGACGCUUUUUGAGAGGCUCCAGGUAGUGCGGAGGGAUUUGGCACGCGCUCUGCGCGCAGCGCCCGCCAGCAUCGCAUCAGCUGUUCCUGCUUCACCGGAAGGAGAUCCUGUUGCUGCUCAGUCGAGUCAAGCUCAUGUUCCUGUCUUCGCUCAGUCAAGCCAAGCUCACGUUCCUGUCGUCGCUCAGUCAAGCCAAGCUCAUGUUCCUGUCGUCGCUCAGUCGAGUCAAGCUCAUGUUCCUGUCACCGCUCAGUCAAGCCAAGCUCACGUUCCUGUCGCCGCUCAGUCAAGCCAAGCUCACGUUCCUGUCGCCGCUCAGUCAAGUCAAGCUCACGUUCCUGUCGCCGCUCAGUCAAGUCAAGCUCACGUUCCUGUCGCCGCUCAGUCAAGCCAAGCUCACUCCCCUGUUGCCACUCAGGCAGAUCCAGUCCCUGCUCCAGACGCUGUUCAGGCAGAUCCAGCUCCCGUUCCAGACUCCAGCUCAUCGAACCAAGUCCAUGCCCACGUUACCGCCAUAGUUCCCCAGUCCAAUUCAGUCCGUGCCGUGGACCCAGCUCCUGCUUCAGCCCUGGCGGUUGAGGAGGUGAAGCCCACAGCUAGUCGUCGGAGGUCCAGACGGCGUCGACGGCAGCCGGUUUCCCCUAUCCAGGCUCCAGAAGACUCGGCCACUGAAAUCAAGCGGCCCUCUCCGCCAGCAGAGGGCACUCUCGCUCCAUCUUACGACAUGCCCAUCUCCAUCGCAGGCGUCCCGGACAGCAUCUUCCUGCGGAUCCGUGCCCAAUGCGCCCCUCCGGUCCUGUUCCUGUUUGCACACUGGCUGAACUCCGCUGAGGCAGAGACCGACCCGGUAAUCAAGGAGCGUCACUUCCGUGAAGCCGCCCUGCUCAUCGCUCGGAAGCCUGCGCUGCGCGAGGCCCUGGGUUUCAUUAAACCCCCGUCAGAGCCUGCACCCGUUCCUGCAUCAGAGCCUGCACCCGUUCCUGCAUCAGAGCCUGCACCCGUUCCUGCAUCAGAGCCUGCACCCGUUCCUGCAUCUGAGCCUGCACCAGUUCCUGCAUCUGAGCCUGCACCCGUUCCUGCAUCUAAGCCUGCACCACUGGCCCCAGCGUCUAAGCCUGCACCACUGGCCCCAGCGUCUAAGCCUGCACCACUGGCCCCAGCGUCUAAGCCUGCACCACUGGCCCCAGCGUCUAAGCCUGCACCACUGGCCCCAGCGUCUCUGGCUGCAUCACUGGCCCCAGCGUCUCUGGCUGCAUCACUGGCCCCAGCGUCUCUGGCUGCAUCACUGGCCCCAGCGUCUCUGGCUGCAUCACUGGCCCCAGCGUCUCUGGCUGCAGCGUCUCCUGCCCUAGCCUCAGCUCAGCCAUGCCAAGCUCAAGCUCCAGCUCAAGCCUCAGCUCAGCCUGCAGCAGCUCAAGCCCCAGCUCAGCCUGCAGCAGCUCAAGCCUCAGCUCAGCCACGUCAAGCUCAAGCCUCAGCUCAGUCACGUCAAGCUCAAGCCCCAGCUCAAGCUCAAGCCUCGGCUCCGCCACGCCAAACUCAAGCUCCAUCUUUAUGCCAGCUAGCGGAC